RNAcentral lists this long non-coding RNA (281 nucleotides) under Vigna radiata. Its description in RNAcentral is "long non-coding RNA (VRAD_LNC017471)". Lineage: Eukaryota; Viridiplantae; Streptophyta; Magnoliopsida; Fabales; Fabaceae. The record is from RNAcentral.
CUAUAAAUAAAAGGUUAAGCCGCAAAGGUACAUAGGUGGAAAAAGUUGUACUAAAUUCUUAUACUCAAUUGUGAGAAAAAGCUCAUUGAGCAACACUUAACUUGAAUGUCGGAGUAUCUUUUGCAGGUGUUCCCCCUCUCGGUCCAGACUUGAAGAGCUUGGAACAAGAGGUUCAGAAGAUAGGAAGGUUACAGUAGUAAGAUUAGUCUCUCAGCCCAACACAAAUAUAUACUGAAACAUUUUGGCGCCCAUCGUGGAGCUGAGAGAAGCAGAAGAAAUCC